UGUGCACCCCAACUUCAUUUUGAUAAUAAAUUUUAAAACAAUUUCAAAUUUUCCCUUUUUCUUUUUCUUGUACGGGUUUUUGCCCUCUCUUCAUUAUUUUGGGACUUCUAUAUUGGGGAGUUCAUAAAAGUGGGCCCAAUUUCUUUUUCAUUAUUUUGUAUAAUAGUAUCACAUUACAAAACGACAUUACAAAAACUGCCUACUAAGGUGUUUGAUAAAAUGCCUAUUAGAAGUUCCGCCAAUAAUUGAGUUUAAGAAUCCAAUUUUCAUUGCAGAAUGGGAACCAAAGAAGAAACCAAGCUUAAAACAGAAUUGCAGGACAUAGUUUUGCAAACUUUCACACAAUUUUCAACGAGGAUUGCAAAAAAUGAGGAACUCGGUGCUGUUGGAAGUAGAUUACUUAGUGGGUUUCAACAAGAGCUUGAUUGCUGGUCUUAUCCUAUAAAUGUUUGCACACAGAAGUAAAUGCAUGCCUACUCGGACUUCAAGACCAUUUAACUAAAGUUGGCCAAUUGAGAAGAAGUGAGUGCAAUGUUGCAAUAUAUUUCCUUGCCACGUUUGGUUCGCCUCUUUCAAUUAUUUUUACUUUCUUAAUCAGAAGACAAUUUACAUUCCAGUAAUUCUUUUUCUGAUUUUUCAAGUGGUACUAAAUACAUUGAUGGAUGUUGCAGCAAAAAGCAUAUUAAAUGAACUGGAAAAUCUUCUCGAGGAUUUAGCUAGUGCAAUUAACUCUUCUAAAGAAAGUUUCUCACCUUUGAAGGAUAAAGAUCUAUGUGAAGAAUUUGAUCAACAAGCAAUUAUUUGACCAGGAAGAGAUGUCGCCAUCAGCUCUUCAAGAAAGUGAGGUGACAGAUUAUGCUGCUUUGAUGGGGAUCAUUUACAAUAUGGUCAAGCAAGACUAUGUGAUGCAGGAAAGGAUUGUUACUUCAUUAAAUCUAAAAUCUCUGCCCGGGGAAUUGGAGAGCUACUGUCUGAUGUAGUCUCUGCGCCCUUUUAUUAAUGAUGACAUUAUGCAUCAGGCCUCGAAGCUUGUUGACUAGCAAUUCAUGGUUUUUCAAACUGUAGAUUGCCUUUUAGCGGCCUAGUAUUGUUGUACUUGUGAAAGACCUUAUUUAAUAUGCAUGCAGUUCCUUAUUUCUUUUUCCACAAUAUAUCAUAAGAGUGUUGCAAUAGUUGAAUUAAUUUCCGUAAAGAAAAUAUAGAAACAUUAUAUUCAAUAGCUUGUAUACUUUUCUAAGGUGGCUAGAUGUAAAUCUGUAAUGUACCUGACGAUGGUUUUCAUUUUUAUACACUAAUGUCAAGCCUUUCUCUUUCUUUC
Molecule: RNA transcript, 1318 nt
Organism: Ricinus communis (castor bean)
Lineage: Eukaryota; Viridiplantae; Streptophyta; Magnoliopsida; Malpighiales; Euphorbiaceae
Exons: 6
Source: RefSeq, a predicted model, not a curated record